AGUCCACGCCGUAAACGAUGAGUGCUAAGUGUUAGAGGGUUUCCGCCCUCUAGUGCUGCAGCAAACGCAUUAAGCACUCCGCCUGGGGAGUACGGCCGCAAGGCUGAAACUCAAAGGAAUUGACGGGGGCCCGCACAAGCGGUGGAGCAUGUGGUUUAAUUCGAAGCAACGCGAAGAACCUUACCAGGUCUUGACAUCCUCUGACAACCCUAGAGAUAGGGCGUUCCCCUUCGGGGGACAGAGUGACAGGUGGUGCAUGGUUGUCGUCAGCUCGUGUCGUGAGAUGUUGGGUUAAGUCCCGCAACGAGCGCAACCCUUGAUCUUAGUUGCCAGCAUUCAGUUGGGCACUCUAAGGUGACUGCCGGUGACAAACCGGAGGAAGGUGGGGAUGACGUCAAAUCAUCAUGCCCCUUAUGACCUGGGCUACACACGUGCUACAAUGGAUGGAACAAAGGGUCGCGAAGCCGCGAGGUCGAGCCAAUCCCAUAAAUCCAUUCUCAGUUCGGAUUGCAGGCUGCAACUCGCCUGCAUGAAGCCGGAAUCGCUAGUAAUCGCGGAUCAGCAUGCCGCGGUGAUACGUUCCCGGGCGUUGUACACACCGCCCAU
This 606-nucleotide ribosomal RNA is filed under the name uncultured bacterium. Its description in RNAcentral is "bacterial SSU rRNA". It matches the Rfam family "Bacterial small subunit ribosomal RNA", at positions 792 to 1397 of the family's 1533-position model. The record is from RNAcentral.